This 624-nucleotide ribosomal RNA is filed under the name uncultured fungus. RNAcentral's name for it is "eukaryotic LSU rRNA". It matches the Rfam family "Eukaryotic large subunit ribosomal RNA", at positions 24 to 664 of the family's 3401-position model. Lineage: Eukaryota; Fungi. The record is from RNAcentral.
CCCGCUGAACUUAAGCAUAUCAAUAAGCGGAGGAAAAGAAACCAACCGGGAUUGCCUUAGUAACGGCGAGUGAAGCGGCAAAAGCUCAAAUUUGAAAUCUGGCGCCUUUGGUGUCCGAGUUGUAAUUUGAAGAAAGUAACUUUGGAGACAAGCCUUGCACAAGUCCCUUGGAACAGGGCGUCAUAGAGGGUGAGAAUCCCGUAUAUGGUGAGGUAUUUGUCUCUAUGUAAAGUACUUUCGAAGAGUCGAGUUGUUUGGGAAUGCAGCUCUAAGUGGGUGGUAAAUUCCAUCUAAAGCUAAAUAUUGGCGAGAGACCGAUAGCGAACAAGUACAGUGAUGGAAAGAUGAAAAGAACUUUGAAAAGAGAGUGAAAAAGUACGUGAAAUUGUUGAAAGGGAAGGGCUUGAAAUCAGACUUGGUAUUUUGUGAUCAGCAAUCUUUCGGGGUUGUGCACUCGCAAUUUACUGGGCCAGCAUCGAUUUUGACGGCGGGAUAAUGACAUUGGAAUGUGGCUCUUUCGGGAGUGUUUAUAGCCUUUGUUGAUACCGGCAGUUGGGAUCGAGGACCGCGCUUUUUGCUAGGAUGCUGGCGUAAUGAUUUUAAGCCACCCGUCUUGAAACACGG